Nerophis ophidion (straightnose pipefish) is the source of this 1097-nucleotide long non-coding RNA. RefSeq lists it as uncharacterized. The transcript has 5 exons. NCBI's taxonomy places the organism in Eukaryota, Metazoa, Chordata, Actinopteri, Syngnathiformes, Syngnathidae. The record is from RefSeq and is a predicted model, not a curated record.
ACCUAUAUUCAGCGUAAAGCAACAAUAUUUCUAUGAUACUGUAUAUUAUGUACUGAAGUAUUUGUGCUCCAAUGAUAGGCGUCCUCCAAUUGCAAACACGACAUAAAACAUGAAAAUGAUACAGCUCAUACGUCUGCAGCUGACCUACAGAUACCGUUUUUGAAGCGAGACAAGAGGACAGAAUUAUAGGCGACACAAGUAUUUUAACAGCAUUGUCGGUCUAGGUUGGCCUGUUUGCUAAAGAGAAACAACAUGAUCAAGCUUUACAGCAAGGUGGGCUUUUUCAGCAUCACGGGAACUUUUAAAACCUCUUGCUUUGUGCUGGAGGAAAAUAAUUGGUGGAGCACACUUGGAGUGUUUCUUUCCAUCGGCCAUUUUGUUUACCCUGCAGUGGCCAACAGAGGUGAAGGACUACUGUAGCAAAGUCAGCUUUGACAUCAUACUGGACACACUCAACAACAACAACAACAACAACAACUAAAACCAAAGGGUGAACUCACCAGGCAGCAGCAUCAGCAUCAGUGUGGCAGCCAGCAGGGCGGUGACGCCGGUCCUCCUCGCUCCAGCCAUGACACGUCUCUUCUCCUGCCGAGACAAAGUCAAAGUGCUUAUGACGAGCGCAGAAGCGACAAGUCUCACUGGGGACCCGGCUGGGGGAUUCUGAGUGACCCGGAAGAUGACUGAUUGGUCCACCUGUGCUCAAAGUGUGUGUGCGCGUGGGGCUGGACUUCCUGAGACAAACUGCCGUGACGGACUGAGCGCUGCCAGGUUUUAAACAAGGCCCAUCAUCACUGACACACAACAGGCUAAGAUGUGCCCGUGGUGCGUUCAAGUGCAACUAUACAGCAUGGGAGAGAGUAGAUUAACGUCAGCGAAGGUGCCAGAAGACUUAAAAAGCUAAUGAGGGGAGCCAAGAUGCCACAUAAGCACUUCUCGAAGGCCGUGGCCAGCACCAAAACCGUGUUUUCACAGCGUCCGCAAACCUGCAAUCCACGACGACGCCAAAAGCAUACUCAUAAUUUUCUCCAAAGCUGGAAUGUGGGCGAUCUACAGACUUUGCGAGACAAACACCUGGUUCCAUGCCGCUUCUUUUUGCG